Molecule: ribosomal RNA, 253 nt
Filed under: uncultured bacterium
Lineage: Bacteria
Description: partial 16S ribosomal RNA
Rfam family: Bacterial small subunit ribosomal RNA
Source: RNAcentral
UACGAAGGGUGCAAGCGUUACUCGGAAUUACUGGGCGUAAAGCGUGCGUAGGUGGUUUGUUAAGUCUGAUGUGAAAGCCCUGGGCUCAACCUGGGAAUUGCAUUGGAUACUGGCAGGCUAGAGUGCGGUAGAGGGUAGUGGAAUUCCCGGUGUAGCAGUGAAAUGCGUAGAGAUCGGGAGGAACAUCUGUGGCGAAGGCGACUGCCUGGACCAGCACUGACACUGAGGCACGAAAGCGUGGGGAGCAAACAGG